AUGCGGACCACGGAUGAGCCUCCAGCCCCCCCUACCCAAUCCAGGAGGUUUAGGCAACAGGCAUCGUGCUCUCUGAUAAUCCCUGUCUCGGUGUGCCGUGUCCCAUCCUGCAGGGAAAUUCAAAUCAUAACAGUCCCUGUGAUUUAUGAGCCCUUGUUGGAUUUUCUUAUCCAUUGCUCGACUUUGGCGUUUGACUUUGGCCAUGACAUUGUGACGACUCCGAGCCCUCAGGUACUCUGAUUCACUUUUCUUAGCCUGAAUCAAAAGGCCCUGGAGGUUUCCUGCCAUUUUUCUCUGGAGCGUUUUGUUUCAAAGAACAGGAAAGGGAGCUCUGUUUCCCACACACUCACAGAGGUUCGAUAUCAAUGACAUUUUAUAGACUGCGGCCCACAAUCGAGCAGCUGCACAGCCAUUGUGACAGUCUCUGUGUUGCAAUACACGUAACUAACAAUGCUGCAGCUUUUUAGACGGAAUAGAAGCUUUGCCACAAACUAUAUGCAAACCAAGUUAGCACAAUUUAGCAUUGAUUAUGAGGUCAGCCUUAUGUUGUUUAUACAAAAGAUAUUUUUAAGAUUAAUUUGCUCUUUCAUUUCAUUUUUCUCCUGAGUCCCCUUUUAUCAUCUCUGUGAUGUAUCAGAAACAUAUUCCAUCUUCUACCCACUCCCUUUCUGUGGGACUUCUUUCUAAACUUAAAAAAAAAAAAAUGUAAUCUGGCUAAAUGCAAUGACAAGGCAUGCAACAUUUUUUGUUAAAUCCAUAAACCAACAAUCUUAUCAACAUAACUGCGAGGGCGUUCCUACAUGUUGGUCAACAUAAACAAGCUCAACAAUGCCCUUUUUUUUUAGUUUCAUUUCCAGCAAGAGUCAAGUGUGUAAUGGCAAAUAAUGAUGUUUUGUGUUUGUUUGUGACUUUUUAUCCCUUUGAAAAGAUCAGGUUCUCAUGUUAAUCAGCCAAUUGAGAGAGAGUUUCCUGUUUUAAAUAGAUUCUAAUCGUGCUCUGCAAGAACAUCUGCUGCUGUGCGGAUUGAUGUGGAGCCAAUUGAAACUAAACUAAGAAGAAAGAAACACAGAUGCUUCAAAGGCCAACGGGUGAGAUCCCUGGCGACAUGAUUAUCAAUUCCCUGUAAUGCGACGGAUCAAAGACUGAGAUGUUGAGUUGCUGAUGUUUUUAAUUAUAGAUGUAAAUUAUUAUGUCUUGAACAGCUUUGAAAUACAAAAUGCCCAGUUCUUGUUAUGUCUUGUAUUUGUCAUGAAUUGACGUCUGAAUCUGUGUCUCCACACCUGAUCCAGUUGGAAACAACCAACUUCAGGGUUUCUUCUGCGAGGCAGGUCGGGCCUUCAGGCCUGCAGCAGGCCCGACUUCAUCAGCUCCACGUGGCUGUUAUUAUGACAGAAGGUGUUUGAGUUCCUUGUGUCCUGCUUUUGAGCGCCACGGACAACUUGAGCAUGAGAUUCAGGACUGAGAUUAUGCCAAACAUGCACACACAUGCAGGACUGGAACAAGUUGUAGCUGCUCUCAGACAUGCACUGAAGUCCCGACUACAUGCUAGAACCUGAAUGUCUGCUGGAAAUUUCCCUGCCACUGAUUGCAUGUUCUUUUAUGUCAACGGCAAACUCUGGAAUACAAUGAAAUGAACCAUUUAAUAUCCUGCAGAAAUUCAGCUUUGCAAGAUGAAUUAUGUUUGCUCUCUGCAUUCUACUUCAGCUAAAGUUAACUGUGAUAACUCAUGAUUUUGUUAUUUCCAGUCUGUGUGUUACGCUAACCUCUCUGUCUUCUAACUGUAGCUUCACUAUUUUAAAGACAUGAGAGUGGUAUCAAUUCUCCCCUGACUCUAACCACACCUUAACCUAACUGUAAGUAUCCACCUGAACUGCCAUUCUGUUUCAAUAUUAUUAUCAACUAUCGUUCGUAUCGCUAAUACCCCCAAAACUCUUUUUUGUUGAUUUUAACGUAUUUAAAAUCUGAUUGGUGCAAAUCACCAUUGCAAAAUGUGCCGCCAUAUUCAAACGAGUGCGAAGAGCACUGACCAAAAACAAGAGCAGAAGACAUCGAUCUCUCAUUCAAAAUAGAAAUUGCUCUAACUUUGACAAAAGUCGAUCAAAGUAAGACACUGAUUGAGGUAAAAAAUGUUUUAGGGCCUUUAAAUGUGUGUUAAAAAAAUAAAUAAAGUAAAAGUAAAUUCACAGGCAUAAUGCAGUGGUCAACACCGGACAGAUCGAUUGAGGUAUUCUUGUCUGACACUUUCAGAGCAAGGCUACGGUGUAUCCCACAAGAGGACUGACCCGGGGUGCUGCUCUCCAGAGGGUACAGGGAGAUUAGUGCGCCGCUCCUGGACCCCUGCCAGGGUUUAAUGGAGCAGUAGUAAAUUGACAGAGAUGCUUGUCGGCCAACAAAGGCCCAAAAAACACCCAGGCUUUACUUAAAAACUGGGACAGGCUGAUUUAAG
Long non-coding RNA from Scophthalmus maximus (turbot), 2446 nucleotides. The record is from Ensembl. NCBI's taxonomy places the organism in Eukaryota, Metazoa, Chordata, Actinopteri, Pleuronectiformes, Scophthalmidae.